GAUGAACGCUGGCGGCGUGCCUAAUACAUGCAAGUCGAGCGCGAGAAUGAGGAGCUUGUUCCUCAUAAUCGAGCGGCGGACGGGUGAGUAACACGUAGGCAACCUACCCUUGAGAUUGGAUAACUACCGGAAACGGUAGCUAAUACCGGAUACGACUUUUCCUCACAAGUGGAAUUGUUAAAAGGCGGAUUUAUCUGCCGCUCAUGGAUGGGCCUGCGGUGCAUUAGCUAGUUGGUGAGGUAGUGGCUCACCAAGGCGACGAUGCAUAGCCGACCUGAGAGGGUGAUCGGCCACACUGGGACUGGGACACGGCCCAGACUCCUACGGGAGGCAGCAGUAGGGAAUCUUCCGCAAUGGACGCAAGUCUGACGGAGCAACGCCGCGUGAGUGAUGAAGGGUUUCGGCUCGUAAAACUCUGUUGUUAAGGAAGAACACUUGAGGUAGUAACUGGCCUUGAGAUGACGGUACUUAACCAGAAAGCCACGGCUAACUACGUGCCAGCAGCCGCAGUAA
This 513-nucleotide ribosomal RNA is filed under the name uncultured bacterium. RNAcentral's name for it is "partial 16S ribosomal RNA". It matches the Rfam family "Bacterial small subunit ribosomal RNA", at positions 28 to 523 of the family's 1533-position model. The record is from RNAcentral.